Molecule: small nucleolar RNA, 129 nt
Filed under: Propithecus coquereli (Coquerel's sifaka)
Lineage: Eukaryota; Metazoa; Chordata; Mammalia; Primates; Indriidae
Source: RNAcentral
GUGCACAUUUCAUUGUCUUUUUUCUUUAUGUGAAGAGAAAAGAUAUUUCCAAUGUGCUAAACAAGCCUUUGGGGGUAAAUUAGCAGCAUGACUAAUUUAGCCAAUGAUGUCAGUUAUUUUCAAACAAGU